This 490-nucleotide ribosomal RNA is filed under the name uncultured bacterium. RNAcentral describes it as "partial 16S ribosomal RNA". It matches the Rfam family "Bacterial small subunit ribosomal RNA", at positions 28 to 507 of the family's 1533-position model. The record is from RNAcentral.
GAUGAACGCUAGCGAUAGGCUUAACACAUGCAAGUCGAGGGGCAACAUGGUCUUAGCUUGCUACGACUGAUGGCGACCGGCGCACGGGUGCUUAACGCGUAUGCAACUUGCCUCACCGAGGGGGAUAACCCGUCGAAAGACGGACUAAUACCGCGUACACUUGGGAUAGGUCAUCCUGACCCAUGUACAUGCAUUUCGCUGUGAGAUAGGCAUGCGUCCCAUUACCUAGUGGGUGAGGUAACGGCUCACCCAGGCGACGAUGGGUCCGGGAGCUGAGGGGUCGAAGCCCCACACUGGUACUGAGACACGGACCAGACACCUACGGGAGGCAGAAGUGAGGAAGAUUGGUCAAUGGGAGAGAGCCUGAACAAGCCAAGUCGCGUGAAGGAUGACUGUCUUAUGGAGUGUAAACUUCUUUUAUACGGGAAUAACAAGAGCCACGUGUGGCUCCCUGCAUGUACCGUAUGAAUAAGCAUCGGCUAACUCCGUG